RNAcentral lists this small RNA (4257 nucleotides) under Pongo abelii (Sumatran orangutan). RNAcentral describes it as "retained intron". The record is from RNAcentral. Lineage: Eukaryota; Metazoa; Chordata; Mammalia; Primates; Hominidae.
AUUUUUAAAUAAAAACUGAAAAAGAAUUUGGGUAUUUGGUGUGCUGAAAAGUGAAAUUUUUGCCUAUUUAAAACUGACCCUAAUCUUGGACAUUAUUAAUAAAAGGCACAUAUUAAUAAAAGACACAUUGACCUAGAUUAUGUUUAACAAAACUUUAAGUUAUUUAAAUUAUGCUAACACAGCAUAUGUAGCACAUUUUACAAAUUCAUAGAUCUUUUAUUUUUCUAGUGUUAAACAAUUACUUCAAAUUGAUUUGUAUUGCUACAUAAGGCAAAAAACAAUUCCUGAACUUUGCAGAAUGGAAAAAUAUUUCAACUGCCACAUUUACUCUUUUAAAACUGAGAGCUUUAAAGCAGGAGCUCCCAAUCCCCAGUACCCAUCCCUGGCCUGUUAGAAACUGGACCACACAUCAGGAGGUGAGUGGCACGCAAGCCAGAGAAGCUUUAUCUGUAUUUACAGCUGCUCCCAGUGGCUUGUAUGGCCACCUGAGCUCCGCCUCCCAUCAGAUCAUUGGCAGCAUUAAAUUCUCAUAGGAGCAUGAACCCUAUUGUGAACUGUGCAAGCCAGGGAUCUAGGUUGUGCCUCCUUAUGAGAAUCUAAUGCCUGAAGAUCUGAAGUGAAGCUGAGGUGGUAAUGGGGAGUGGCUGCAGAAACAGAUUAACAUUAGCAGAGAGGCUUGACUGCACAGAGACUGUAAUCAAUCAGCUGCUUGCAGACUCAUAUCAAAACCCUCUCAGUGAGUGGCAAGUGACAAGCUGCAUCUAUCUAGUGGCAGGUUUUAAGUCAGAAUCUGACAUUUAUUUAAUCUGCAUGUGGCCUGCCCAUUACUUAUUUACCACUUCCAUCCAUGCCUCUUUCCUGCACUGUGCAUUUGUCUCAGUCACAGUUUUGGUAAGCCCACAAGCUAACCCUAGCCAAAAUGAGUAAAAAAGCAAACGUCCUUGGAGAGCUUCUUUGAAAAGUGGGAAAGACUCAAUGAUGAGAGAGCAGAAGACUCUAAUACUGCCAACAAAGAGAAAGUGGCAUUUAAAAGAAAAUAUCAAGAGUCCUACUUAAAUUGUAGGUUCAUUGCAGUAGGUGAUUCACAUUCUCCAAACCUGCUUUGUCUAAUAUGUGAUGACCAGCUAUCCAGAAAAGCCAUGAAACGUUUAAAAGUGCUUCACCACAUGGAGACCAAGCACCCUGCAUUAAAAGACAAGCCUUUGGAGUUUUUCAAAAGAAAAAAUAGUAAACGCAAAGAACAGAAGUAAUUAUUGAAGGCCACCACUUCCUCAAAUGUGUCUGCAGUGAGAGCAUCAUUCUUAGUGGCUAAUCACAUUACUAAAGCUAAGAAGGCCUUUACUACUGGUGAAGAGUUGAUCCUGCCUGCUGCUAAGGACUUAGGAGAGCCUGCAGUUCAAAAGGUGGCACAUGUUCCUCUUCUGGCUAGCACCAUAACUAAAUGAAUUAAUGAAAUAGAGGAUAUGAGGCAUAAUUGUUAGAAUUAAUGAGUCACUGUGGUACGCAAUCCAGGUUAAUGAGUCUACCAGUGUUGACAGCAAGGCAACAAUGCUUGUUUAUGUGUGAUACAUUUUUCAGGAGGAUGUGCAUGAGGAUAUGUUAUGUGCACUUUUGCUUUCAUCUAACACCACAGCUGCAGAACUAUUCAAGUCUUUAAAUACAUAUCAGGAAAAUUGAAUUGGUCAUUUUGUAUGGGUAUAUGCAGGGAUGGAGCAGCUGCCAUGACUGGACGGCUUUCUGGUUUCACUACUCAGGUCAAAGAGCUUGCUUCUGAAUGUGAGUCUGUGUACUGUGUCAUCUGUAGAGAUGCUGGCUAGUUGAAAAAUGCCACCUGAACUUACCAUUUUGUAGGAUGUGAUUAAAAUUUUCAACCACAUUAAAGUACAUGCCCUUAAUUCACAUCUGUUCAUGUAGCUCUGUGAGAAGAUGGACACAGAGCACACAUCUUCUCUUAUACACAGAAGAGAGAUGGCUUCCUAAAGGUAGAUCACUGGCCACAGUUUUUCAGUUACAAUAGCUGCUCCAGAGAUUUCAUUUUAGAAAAAGUCACCACUGGCAGCACAUUUUGUUGACACAGAAUUGGGUCACAAAACUUGCUUACUUGGCCAGGCAUGGUGGGUCACGCCUGUAAUUACAGCACUUUUGGGAGGCCAAGGCAGGCAGAUCAUUUAAGGCCAGGAGUUUGAGACCAGCCUGGCCAAAGGGGAGAAACCUCGUCUUUACUAAAAAAUACAAAAAUUAGCUAGGCGUGGUGGCACACGCCUAUAAUCCCGGCUACUCAGGAGGCUGAGGCAUGAGAAUCAUUUGAGCCUGGAAGGCAGAGGUUGCAAUGAGCCGAGAUCAUGCCACUGUACUCCAGCCUGGGCAAGAGAGCGAGACUCUCUCAAAAAAAAAAAAAAAAAAAAAAACUUGCUUGUGUGACAUAUUCAAUCUGUCACCUCAAGGGAGAACAAAACUGUGUUCAAGUUGGCAGAUAGAGUGGCUGCAUUCAAAGCCAAACUGGUAUUAUGGGGGCCACAAGUGAACAUUGGGAUUUUUUGACAUGUUUCAAACAUUAGCAGAGAUUUUAAAAGAGACUGAGCCAGGACCGUUUUUCUCCCAGCUGGCACAUGAUCACCUAUCUCAGCCUUCAAAGAGUUUGAGUAUUAUUUUCCAGCCACGAAAGAGCCCCGAACUGGGAAGGAAUGGAUUCACAACCCAUUUGUGAAUAAGCCAGGUGAAUCGACUUUGUUCAUGCUAGAAGAGGAUCAGCUGCUUAAGAUCACAAAUGACGUUGCCCUUAAAAGUAUGUUUGAGACAACUUCACAUCUCUAUACAUUCUGGAUUAAAGACAAAGUGGAAUAUCCUGAGAUUGCCACGAAAGCACUGGAAAGCCUGCUUCCAUUUCCAACCUCCUAUCUUUGUGAAACAGGGUUUUCUGUAGUGACAGCAGCCAAACAAGAUUACAGAGUAGACUGGACAUAAGCAACACACUUAGGGUGUCACUGUCUCCCAUCACCCCUAGAUGGGACCGUCUAGUGGCAGGGAAAACAAGCUCAGGGCUCCCACUGCUUCUACAUUAUGGUGAGUUGUACAAUUAUUUCAUUAUAUAUUACGAUGUGAUAAUAAUAAAGUACAUAAUAAAUGUAAUACACUUGAAUCAUCUCAAAACCACCACCACCCCCCUCCAUGGAAAAAUUGUUUUCCACAAAACCAGUCCCUGGUGCCAAAAAGGUUGGAAACUGCUGCUUUAAACUUUAAGUUGCUCUGAUAAACUUGAUAAGCAAAGAAAGGCAUAAAGAAGAGUCAGUACAUGACCAUUUUAUUUAGCCAUUUGCUGAACAGAAGUGCCUAGCUUUUUUCACUGUUUUUGUGCAAAGAUAGAUAAUUCUGUUUGUUAGAGAGUUUUUAUUAAGUGACUACAAAAAAAACUUUCAGGAUAACAUCUACUUAUUAAGUAAGCUAAAACAUUUAAUACCCAAAGUGCUUAGUAAUAAAUAUUUAUGCUAUCUCAACAUCAGGCAUUUUAUUUUCUAUCAGGUAACCACCUAUGGCAUAAAUUCUCAAAAUUCAUAGUAAAAUUAGUCACAAUUAGAUAAAUCAGCCCUGAGUAUAAUAGCGUCUGUAUUAUGGGUUUUUGUGUAAAUUAUUAAUUUGACUGAAACAUAACUAAAGUAUCCUGGACAUGCAGGGGAAGAAGACAAGAAAAUUAAUGAAGAACUGGAGUCUCAAUAUCAGCAAAGUAUGGACAGUAAAUUAUCAGGAAGAUAUCGGCGACAUUGUGGACUUGGCUUCAGUGAGGUAGAAGAUCAUGAUGGAGAAGGUGAUGUGGCUGGAGAUGAUGAUGAUGACGAUGAUGAUUCACCUGAUCCUGAAAGUCCAGAUGAUUCUGAAAGCGAUUCAGAGUCAGAGAAAGAAGAAUCUGCUGAAGAACUCCAAGCUGCUGAGCACCCUGAUGAAGUGGAGGAUCCCAAAAACAAAAAAGAUGCAAAAAGCAAUUAUAAAAUGAUGUUUGUUAAAUCCAGUGGUUCAUAACUCCCAAACGCUUAGUCUUUGUAUUAAAAGUAAGCCUUAUUGUUAUAAUGCACAGUGGAGGACUGCUUUUAGAGCACAGACCUUUGUAUUAUAAUUUUUAAAAAGGCCCUUUUAAAUAAUUACAAAGAGUGUUUGCUUUCAAAUGCCAUGGGUUACACUUUUAUGGGCAUGACUAUAACCAUUUUUGUAAAGAGUAAGAGUUGUAUAAAAUAAGAAAUAAAUACAGUACUCAACUUCCUUUCA